AGGGUUUGAUUCUGGCUCAGGAUGAACGCUGGCGGCGUGCCUAACACAUGCAAGUCGAACGAAGCUUGACGGAUGAUUUCUUCGGAAUGAAACCUGAUAUGACUUAGUGGCGGACGGGUGAGUAACACGUGAGCAACCUGCCUUUCAGAGGGGGAUAACGGCUGGAAACGGUCGCUAAUACCGCAUGACGUGUUCGGAUGGCAUCAUCUGAACAUCAAAGAUUUAUCGCUGAAAGAUGGGCUCGCGUCUGAUUAGAUAGUUGGUGGGGUAACGGCCUACCAAGUCUACGAUCAGUAGCCGGACUGAGAGGUUGAACGGCCACAUUGGGACUGAGAUACGGCCCAG
This 345-nucleotide ribosomal RNA is filed under the name uncultured bacterium. RNAcentral's name for it is "bacterial SSU rRNA". It matches the Rfam family "Bacterial small subunit ribosomal RNA", at positions 8 to 334 of the family's 1533-position model. The record is from RNAcentral.